UACGGAGGAUUCGAGCGUUAUCCGGAUUUAUUGGGUUUAAAGGGAGCGUAGGCGGGUUGUUAAGUCAGUUGUGAAAGUUUGCGGCUCAACCGUAAAAUUGCAGUUGAUACUGGCAUCCUUGAGUACAGUAGAGGUAGGCGGAAUUCGUGGUGUAGCGGUGAAAUGCUUAGAUAUCACGAAGAACUCCGAUUGCGAAGGCAGCCUGCUGGACUGUAACUGACGCUGAUGCUCGAAAGCGUGGGGAGCAAACAGG
This 253-nucleotide ribosomal RNA is filed under the name uncultured bacterium. RNAcentral's name for it is "partial 16S ribosomal RNA". It matches the Rfam family "Bacterial small subunit ribosomal RNA", at positions 524 to 776 of the family's 1533-position model. The record is from RNAcentral.